GGUUACUUUCUACCGCUUCCGUUGUCUUAUUCGUUGGGAAGGUCACGUUUAUUUUUUCGACUGUCUUGUCACGUAGACUUUAAUAAUGUUGUCCAGGGCACUUCCCGCUGUCAGAGCAUUAAAGUCGAUUGCACGUACACAGCCACAAGUUCUACGAUGUAUGAGUGGAGAAGCCCCAGCUCACUGGAAAUCAGAAAGACAAAUAGCUAUUGAUGGUAAAAUAACAUUAGAUGACAUUCCUGUUCCAGAAGGAUCAUGGCAGGAGCAACAGGAUAGAAUCAACAAAUCACAGAACGUGAUGCUAGUUGGUUCACUAGUAUUUUUUGCUAUAACAGCAGUAGCUGCAUACCAGCUUGACGCAGUUUAUAUGCAUGGAGAACCACCUUUAAAAUCUGUGAAAUUUGAUUAAAUUGAAAAUAUUUAGUAGAAUGAAGAUUAAGAAAUCUGAAAAAGUUUUAUUUCAGAGCUGACUUUAUUUAUAGAUAUACUACCAAGUUUUGUGGAUUAUUGAAUUGUCGUUAUAUCAAACCAUCAAUAAAUUUUUAAAUACUG
This is a long non-coding RNA of Patella vulgata (common limpet), 552 nucleotides long. RefSeq lists it as uncharacterized. The record is from RefSeq and is a predicted model, not a curated record. The transcript is spliced from 3 exons. Lineage: Eukaryota; Metazoa; Mollusca; Gastropoda; Patellidae.